RNAcentral lists this long non-coding RNA (6929 nucleotides) under Gallus gallus (chicken). Lineage: Eukaryota; Metazoa; Chordata; Aves; Galliformes; Phasianidae. The record is from RNAcentral.
AAAAGCCAAACUAUCUGUGCACUAUAAUUUAAGAUUGGCCGACCUGACUACAGAGUCAAAGCCUUGGCACUUUUUGUCACUUCCAGGAAUGCUUCCCUGUACCAUCGAGAUCUUCUUUCUGGUCUUUACAUAUUCCAAGUACUAGAAACACAUAUUCACAUAAGCUAAAUAAAAAAGCAUAUGGAUAUUUGAAACUACAGGUGGAAAAGGUGUCUAUUUUAUUUAAAUCUGGCAAAAAAAGAGUUAAUGUCUGAUGAAUCCUUUGUGCUAGUAAGCUUUUGGACUGUGCCACUAUUCCUGCCAGCCCAGGUGGAGCUCUUCAGGUGCUGUUUCUGUUUAUAACAAGGAACAUCAUUCUUUUCCUUUGUGCCAGGAAGAAAUUUGAGAAGAUCAGUGAAAAGAAUUACAAAUAGCAUGAAGUGCUGGCUUGAUACUAGUCAGAGACUCCUUACUAACAGCAAAAGUCUCUUGAUCCCUCCUUUCAGAGAACAUGGAACAGUCAGUUACUAGUUUGCAGAAACAUAUUAUUCAGAAACUCUUCUGUUCUUGGAGAAAAGUUGGAGCAAGGAAAGCAGUCAGGAAUGAAUGUUUCUGUACACCAGUCUUACAGACAAAAUACAUCCCAAUUCAUACUAAAUGCUGGAGAAUUGGUAGCAUCCUUACCACUCAAGAGAAUGUCUCUUAAAAUGCUGGUCCAAACUUCAGCACAUCCAUGAAGGAGAAAGCACACUCACUAAGACAAUUACACCGAAGACAUGGUUAUGCUGGUGGCAAUAUCAGAGGUGCUGUUGCUUCUGGGAUUGGCAGUGGAGUCAGAUUCCCUCUGCACACCCACCAUCUUUUACAAGAACUGCUGGAUCCGACGCUUUCCUGGUCUUCUGAUCGACCUGCAGGAAUCACAGAAGAGAGGAGCCCAGGUGCUGAGGAUUUAUGCAGAAGUCUCCUCCCAGCAGUGCAGUAGAACCUGCUGCCUUCAGAGGAAUGGUGAGUGUUUAUUAUCAAGACUGUGUCAUAGAUAAAAACAAAACAAAGAAGGAUAUAUACAGUUUAGUUUUUGAGGCAGGAAAGCAGGGGCACAUGGUAACUGUUCUCUCAUCUUCAGUCCCAUAGAAAGGCAUUUGCUAAUCUGGUAUUUUUGGAAGUCCACACUUGGAACACGUGAAAAUUUUAGGAUCUGCUCUGACAUUUUAAAUUUCUAUUACAAAUUCUGUGGGCAAUAUUAAGAUAACUUUUCAAUAUCCAUCACCACCUACUCUUCUACAGAAAAAUUCUACUCCACUGUAAAUGGACACUGAUUACAUUAGGGCCCUUCUUUGGGAACGGGGGCGGGUUAGAAUCUUCACACAAGUCUGUCAUAUUUGGGUCUCCUUUCAGUUCCUACUAUAUUUUACAGCAGAAAUAUACUCUGAACACCUCAAUUUAUUUUUACUUUUGCUUGAAUUAUGAGUCAUUUUGAUAAUUAGGUGGCACCUUUUUCCUUUCUUUUGAAGAAUCUGAAGUCAAGAAGCAGGGGAAUCUCAUUCUGUGUGCUGGCAACACACUGGUACUCCCGGGUUUUUCAGCAAUUCAUGAAGUGCUACAAGGCAACUCAAAAAUGCAGUGAAUGCUCUUAGCAAUUAAAAUGUCUGGAAGAAUGAAGCAAGAAGUUUAAUUAUCUAAAUUAGCUUGUUUAAGGUACCAGGGUUAUAGCUACGCUUGCAAAAUGUGCCAUGAAAUACAUAAUAUUUAUUAGCUGGAUGUGGCUCUGGGCAGCCUGGUCUAGUGGUUGGUGACCCUGCACACAGCAAGGGGGUUCAAACUAGAUGAUCAUUAUGGUCCUUUGCAACCCAGGCCAUUCUAUGAGUCUAUGAUUCUGGUCCAGCUGAAGUAUAACAUCAGUAUGAGCAGUAAAACUGAGACAGUGGUUAUUUGGUUAGCUAUCCUUUUUUUUUCCUAGUGUUAAAAAGUGAGACUCAGAAUAAAAAUGAGAAAAUGCCAUUCCUUCUCUUAAACCCAAGACUAUACUUUCCCUAUAUCACAUUCCUUUUGUAUACAGUGUGUAUUUUAAGAGUGUACCUGAUGCGUGUGCCUGUAGUGCCUAAAUUUGACUGCAAAGCGCACAGUACUCAAAAAGUUUUUCAAUAUGGGAGAUCAAAGUGAGCUACCUGUUAUUAAAUACAAAAAAAUAUAUGAAUUUUGAUGAAAUUUUAAUUAUGAGCGUGGUUUUGUCCUUGAAAAUCUGGCACCAAGUCAACUAACCUAAUGGCCAUCAGCAUUCCUGUGAGGAGUCAACUUCUGUUUAAAAUAGGGUGAAAAAAGAAUAAUUAUAAACAGUUUAGUAACAUUUUUUCCUUUUUGGACAACUACCUUUUUGGUCAUAAAACAUGAGACUAGGUGUGUAAUGAAGGUAAGUAAUGGUAAUUGGAGCCUUGUUUUUGUAAUCUUUCACAAUCAAGUGCAGACUUGUUAUAACCUUAACUGAAGUACAGAGAUAUCAAAUGGCAUUUCAUAAAUAUGCUUUAAAUCAGAUUGUGAUUUCCAUACAGUCCCAAAGAGACAGAUGUAGUCUACCACAGAUAUUGUAGUCUACCACAGUCUACCACCAAUAAAUGUCCUAAUUAAGACUUCAAGAAAUAUUGACGAUUGGUAAGACUGUCUUCUUUGCUGGAUUCUCAGUAAUAGGACAGCUACUGAAAGGUAAUCUUACAAGAUAGAAAUAAAUUCUGAAAUAAUUUAAAAACAAACAAUAGCAUAGUUGGCUUGUACCUCUUCAAGAUGAUGCAAAAUAUCUCAUAGCAUGCUUUUUACAUAUUUUUCCUGACCAAAGAACUAUUUUUUCUCACCCCAAAAAUAGGUUUGUGACUUACUUUUCUUACUCAAUUUUACACAAUAAAAUCUAACACAUAUACCAAAAAAUACUUCCUCAAAAGCCAAUUUCUUCAGAAGAUAUUUUUUUUCUUUUUUAAUAUUAAUGAUAUUUUCAUAAAGCGUGUAAACUAAUCAUUAUGAUGAAAAACUUUUAGAAUUAUGUUGUGCCAAAAAUAUGAGUUUCUAACAACAACAGAACUUUGAACAAACUUUGAAGAUAGGAAAGGACUUGAAAUCUAACUCCUCCCUUAAGAUAAAUGCAUGUAUUUUCAGGUAUCUUCUAUUUUCUUAACUAAGAAUUUAUAUCCCUGCAAUAUAUCACCAAACCUACAUAAUGUUCAUGUAUCAUACUGAAAAACAAGUAUAAAAAAUACAGAUAGUACAAAAUGUCAAUUCUUCAACAAAAUCCAGAACACUGAGUACUUGGGUUUCAAGGCAAUGUUCUAUGCUGCUACAACACACAAGGAAAGUGAAGAACAAUUUUCUGUUGGAAAAAAAAUAAUCACUGUGAGCAAAUAUCAGAAAAUUUUUGUUUUAAAACAAUGACAAUAUUCAUAAUAUUCUAUUUUUAGUGUUUCCAGAGUGUUUAACAUUCUUUCAGCAAAAGAUAUCACAGAAAAGCAACUACUACAUAGAUACUUCAUAGAAAUAUUUGAAGGCCUUUGUUAUUUUUAUUGUUAACUAAAAAUGAUACAAAAUGUUUACUGAUGACUACAACUGUUUAUAUAUAUAUAUAUUUUAUCUGUAUGUCUAUAUUUUUAUUUUUAUUUUUUGUCUGUUUGUCUAAAUGUCUAUAGUUCUCAGGAAGUACCUCAAAGUGUACUUGUUUUCUGAACACUACAAUAUGCUUGUAAUCUUCUAAAGAAAAAUGUAAACUAAUUGGUACAUAAUGGAGUCAGGGUUUUGUGUAGUCCUUGUAAAGUAUCAUUCUGUAUCUGACAAGCACUGUCCUUCUAUUGCUUUAAAUAGCCAUAACUUUCUUUGUACCAAUUCUACUGUUGUAAAAGUCUUCUCUGAGCUCAGCUGCUAGUUUGAUAACUGGAAACUGAUGAAGCCUAGUUAGAGAUAAAAGAUGGACUCAGUGAAAGAAAAACUGUUGUUCGACCUCUUUGAUUUACAUUCAAUAUCUAGUGAUGACUUUACACUAUUCAUUACAGCUUAGGAUCCCAGUUGUUCUUGUAAGUAUUACUAUUUUUGUUUCAGCUAUGCAGACAACUUUGAUUACUUAAUGCAAGUAGGUAAAAAACAUGGUACAAUAUACAUUCAGUAACAGCACUUCUACAGUGCUUUUUUUAUUCCACAAAGCUGCUGAAUUUGUAUUCUUCAGACAGAGUGCAUUUUCAUUGCAAAUUUUUAAUCUUAUGGUAUACAUCUUUUGAAAGCAGUGUUCAUCUCUGACAUCUGAUAUGUUCAUUAUGAUGGAAAAUUUUCUAGCUAUAUAUGCAGUGUUAUUCAAUGCAGUAUUUAGAUUACUAACUCAAAAAAUACAGUGAAUACAGAAAAGAUAGUAAGGGUGGGUAGAGAGCAUGUUCUUUCUUUUUCUCAUUUGUUGAUAAGAUAGGGUUAUUUUUUAGUUACACAUGCAAUGGGAAGAGAAAAAAGUUGCAUUACUUUUCCACUGAAUAAAUAUUACAAGUUACUAUCAUUACUUAGAAAUAUAAGGUAAUAUUUAGAAUAAAUACCAAAGUAAAUGGAAAAUAUUUUAAAGCUAAGUAGUUUCUUAACAAUUCAUGUAAAAUAAAGCUUUUCUAUUACUGUCUUGACACCAUUAUCCUGCAACUAGAAUGAUUUUUUUAUAUUAAAAACAGACAGACAAAAAGAGAAAAAAGCACAAUUAUGUUGCAAUCAUUUGCUUAAAGCAAUAGUUCACUAUUUCACAUUUUCUUAAAAGUUAUGUAAGCAUCUAAUCUUAAAAGAUCAUUUCAUUCACAACUUUCCAAAUUUUCCAAGGGAAGAUGGUUUCAAGCUCAAAGAGGGUAAGUUUAGGUUAGAUAUAAGGAAGAAGUCUUUUACAGUGAAGGUGAUGAGGCACUGGAAUGGGUUGCCCAGAGAUGUGGUGGAUUCCCCAUCCCCAGAGACUUUCAAAGCCAGGCUGGACCAGUCCCUCAGCAACUUGGUCUAGCUGUGGAUGUCCCUAUUCACUGCAGAGAAGUUGGACUAAAUGACCUUUAAAUGUCCCUUCCGACUCUAAGGAUUCUAUGAUUCUACUCUAUGAUUUUCUGAAGUGCUAAGCCUUGAGAAUCAAAGUCAGUAUCAAAAAUUUUUCCUUUGGUUUUUAAAUAAUUUACAGUAUUUUCUGCUGUUGAAUGUGUCACCUGCCCUGCCAAUACUUUUUCUGUAGUCAAAAAAAUUCAAGUCUACAUUCAGGACACAUGAAAAAAAUUAUAAAACUUCACAUGACUAAACAAAAAUUAACACUGAUCCUACUCCAAGCACAGUGAUAUAAAAUAAAUUCAACUUGUUACUUGAUAUUUUUACUUCUAGUAUAACAUUUACCUUGAGUAUUGAAGCAUAUAUACGAGCACAUAAUAUAACAUUUUCAAAAGCAUUUCAUUAAAUUGACUUCUACAUCCCCAUUUUCAUGCUUACAGCUAUCUUAAACCACUAGGAUUCAGGUAUUUAUAUAGAUAUAUAUUUAUAUAUAUUUAUACAGAAAUUUAGUUCUCAGUGACGCUUUCCUCAGGUGGUAAGAGAGAAGCUAGUCUCCAAAUACAGAUGAUGGAUUGUCUUAAAUAUUAUAUUCACAGAAAUAAAUAGCCCAAAGCCAAACAAGAUAAAGCAAGGCAGGAUGCCAGUUACAUAUUGUAGUUCAGGAUACACCAGCUGAUGAGUGUUUAAUAGUUUGAGUGAAAAAAAUGUUUCCUGUCCAGUUUCAAGUAGACAGGUAUCAAUUGCACAAGAGCAAACACCUCAAACUUGCACUGACUGAUUUACUUUUAGAAAUAGUCCAAUCACUGCAAUAAAGAUAUAAAGGAAAGGUAAGAGAGGACUGCAGGCUACAGCAUAUGGUUUUAUUUAUUCUGAGAAUUCAUUUAGAAUUCAUUUGGCUAUUCUUUUCAUCUUCUCUAGGUGUAAAAUAUGAAUAUAGUUACAAGUUGUUCUACUUUUAUGACUAGGUGCCUAAGAAGUUUGCAUGAUAAUGAGAGAAUCACCGAUUUUAUAUACUGUGCAACUACUCAGUAUUAAUAUUUCUUUCAAUGUUAAAUAAUGAACUUAGGUCACUCUGAAAGUAAUGCCUCCUAUUAAUUUCCAUGGAAAUUACAACAGAUACAAAGAGCACUAUAACACUAUUUCAUAGAGCAAAUGCUCAACUACAAAACACUGUUUUUCAGCUUAGUUAUCACCACCACUGGCUAUGCAUUUUUGCCAGCAAGAGCCUGCAUGCCACACUCAUAAAAAUCUGCACUAGUGAAGUUGACCCACUGUUUCACAGCUGCAAUGACAGUGUGAUUGCUAGGAAAAUGCUUCCCAUGCAGUCCAUCUUCCAUGAGCCCAAACAGAUGGAAUUCAGAAUAUGCCAAAUCUGGACUGUACAGUGGGUAUGGUAGGACAGUUCAGCCAAGACUCUUUGUAUUUCUUGUGUGAGCAUUUGUGGGACCCACCUGGUGCAAACUUUGUGAUAUUCCAACAUUACCACCACUGUUUCCAGUGCACUGAAGCCAAUGUUUAGUUCCAUACAUGAUUCCAUGGUUGUAAUCUGCCAAUUGACAUGGAUGAGCUGGUCAAGAAACUCCUCAUUCCAUGGUAGGACAGCUGUGCAUGGCUGUCUGGAAUGUAGCUUGUCUUUAACAUUGCUGUCACCAUUACUGAGACAAACUACUACUUUCUCACCAAGCUAACAUCCAUUGUUUGGUCUCCAUAAACAUACUGUGUGUUACAGUGUGAUGAAUGUCAAUGUGUGCCAUUUUUUCUGCAUGGAGGAAUUCAAUUCUACACCUUUGCUUCAUACCCACUUCCAUGUCAGACACCAUUUUGUCAGACUACCCCUCUGCGGCCAUCAGUCACAUAGCAACUGCCACAUCACUAACAUCCUCCUCUGAUGUCAUGAGUCAACAUAUUAGGAGGCAUUACUUUCAGAGAAG